RNAcentral lists this long non-coding RNA (540 nucleotides) under Lathyrus oleraceus (garden pea). Its description in RNAcentral is "Pisum sativum (pea) long non-coding RNA (PSAT_LNC006329)". The record is from RNAcentral. Lineage: Eukaryota; Viridiplantae; Streptophyta; Magnoliopsida; Fabales; Fabaceae.
AAUGAUGAUUUGGUGUAGUAAAUAUAGUCACGUUUUGAAAGCUACUAUGAUAAAAACAUACAGUAAGUAGAUAAGUAAUAAGUAUAUGUAUAUGCCAUUUUAAUUCAAAGACCUGCAUUUGGAGUGUUUCAACCCAUCCUAUAAUGUUCAAAGCAAACAUAGCUCUUUUGCCAUGUAUCCAUCUAUUAGGUUUCAUGUUUCUAACAAAAGUAGCUCUAUGUUAUUUUCACUAUUGGUUUUAUUUUUCAAAACUUUAACCCAUCUUUGUCUAUAAAAAAGGUCAUUUUCUUUAUUUCUUUUUUUCAUUGUAAUUUUUUUAAACAACAUAUUUUGAUAUCAAUACAUUAUAUUAAAAACAAAUAGAUUAAAAGAAAAUUAGAUUUAAAAAAACUCAAAUAUCAUUACAAUUUAAAUCAAUAAAAUUAUUUUUAAAUAAUUUGCAUAUUCUCUUGCUAUUGUGUUUAACACAUAUAUUUGAUUUUUUAUUUUUAAAAAAGGUAUGAAAUAUGUAUAAAUGAUGCUUUCUAUGAUGAUUUGUAA